AACGAGGCCGACCUGCGGCUGAGUUACCUGCGGAAGGAUCAUUAUAGAGUUUUCUAAACUCCCAACCCAUGUGAACUUACCUUUUGUUGCCUCGGCAGAAGUUAUAGGUCUUCUUAUAGCUGCUGCCGGUGGACCAUUAAACUCUUGUUAUUUUAUGUAAUCUGAGCGUCUUAUUUUAAUAAGUCAAAACUUUUAACAAUGGAUCU
Molecule: unclassified non-coding RNA, 206 nt
Filed under: soil metagenome
Description: partial contains 5.8S ribosomal RNA, internal transcribed spacer 2, and large subunit ribosomal RNA
Source: RNAcentral